RNAcentral lists this ribosomal RNA (389 nucleotides) under Chytridium sp. RNAcentral describes it as "partial small subunit ribosomal RNA". It matches the Rfam family "Eukaryotic small subunit ribosomal RNA", at positions 582 to 975 of the family's 1831-position model. The record is from RNAcentral. Lineage: Eukaryota; Fungi; Chytridiomycota; Chytridiomycetes; Chytridiales; Chytridiaceae.
AUUCCAGCUCCAAUAGCGUAUAUUAAAGUUGUUGCAGUUAAAAAGCUCGUAGUUGAAUUUUGGAUCUGGUCAAGUGGUUUGGGCGCAAGCUCAACACUGCUUUGGCUGGGUCUAUUUCUUUUGGGGAAUUAAGGUGCUAUUUAUUUAGUGCCUUAGGGAACCAAAACUGUUACUUUGAAAAAAUUAGAGUGUUUAAAACAGGCUUAUGCUUGAAUACAUUAGCAUGGAAUAACGGAAUAGGACUUUGUUUCUAUUUUGUUGGUUUGAGAAAUGAAGUAAUGAUUAAUAGGGACAGUUGGGGGCAUUUGUAUUCCAUUGUCAGAGGUGAAAUUCUUGGAUUUAUGGAAGACUAACUUCUGCGAAAGCAUUUGCCAAGGAUGUUUUCAUCA